RNAcentral lists this ribosomal RNA (991 nucleotides) under uncultured Lachnoclostridium sp. RNAcentral describes it as "bacterial SSU rRNA". It matches the Rfam family "Bacterial small subunit ribosomal RNA", at positions 564 to 1533 of the family's 1533-position model. The record is from RNAcentral. Lineage: Bacteria; Bacillati; Bacillota; Clostridia; Lachnospirales; Lachnospiraceae.
ANGGAGCGUAGACGGNGAAGCAAGUCUGGAGUGAAAACCCAGGGCUCNNCCCUGGGACUGCUUUGGAAACUGUUUUGCUAGAGUGUCGGAGAGGUAAGUGGAAUUCCUAGUGUAGCGGUGAAAUGCGUAGAUAUUAGGAGGAACACCAGUGGCGAAGGCGGCUUACUGGACGAUAACUGACGUUGAGGCUCGAAAGCGUGGGGAGCAAACAGGAUUAGAUACCCUGGUAGUCCACGCCGUAAACGAUGAAUGCUAGGUGUUGGGGGGCAAAGCCCUUCGGUGCCGUCGCAAACGCAAUAAGCAUUCCACCUGGGGAGUACGUUCGCAAGAAUGAAACUCAAAGGAAUUGACAGGGACCCGCACAAGCGGUGGAGCAUGUGGUUUAACUCGAAGCAACGCGAAGAACCUUACCAAGUCUUGACAUCCCCCUGACCGGUCAGUAAAGUGACCUUUCCUUCGGGACAGGGGAGACAGGUGGUGCAUGGUUGUCGUCAGCUCGUGUCGUGAGAUGUUGGGUUAAGUCCCGCAACGAGCGCAACCCUUAUCCUUAGUAGCCAGCAGGUAAAGCUGGGCACUCUAGGGAGACUGCCAGGGAUAACCUGGAGGAAGGUGGGGAUGACGUCAAAUCAUCAUGCCCCUUAUGAUUUGGGCUACACACGUGCUACAAUGGCGUAAACAAAGGGAAGCGACCCUGCGAAGGCAAGCAAAUCCCAAAAAUAACGUCCCAGUUCGGACUGUAGUCUGCAACCCGACUACACGAAGCUGGAAUCGCUAGUAAUCGCGAAUCAGAAUGUCGCGGUGAAUACGUUCCCGGGUCUUGUACACACCGCCCGUCACACCAUGGGAGUCAGCAACGCCCGAAGUCAGUGACCCAACCGAAAGGAGGGAGCUGCCGAAGGCGGGGCAGGUAACUGGGGUGAAGUCGUAACAAGGUAGCAAUCACUAGUGAAUUCGCGGCCGCCUGCAGGUCGACCAUANGGGAGAGCNCCCA